AGGGUGUAAACGCUGCAGACUUGGUGUUGGGAACCCUUCGGGGUGCUCAGUGCCGGAGAGAAGUUGUUAAGUCUGCUACUUGGGGAGUACGUCCGCAAGGAUGAAACUUAAAGGAAUUGGCGGGGGAGCACCGCAACGGGAGGAGCGUGCGGUUUAAUUGGAUUCAACACCGUAAAACUCACCAGGGAAGACUGUUACAUGAAAGCCGAGAUGAAGACUCUGCUAGAUUUUCAGAGAGGUGGUGCAUGGCGUCAGUGACU
Molecule: ribosomal RNA, 260 nt
Filed under: uncultured archaeon
Lineage: Archaea
Description: partial 16S ribosomal RNA
Rfam family: Archaeal small subunit ribosomal RNA
Source: RNAcentral